Molecule: long non-coding RNA, 666 nt
Organism: Rosa rugosa (rugosa rose)
Lineage: Eukaryota; Viridiplantae; Streptophyta; Magnoliopsida; Rosales; Rosaceae
Exons: 4
Source: RefSeq, a predicted model, not a curated record
AACGUCGGGGAAAGAUGCAAGGGGCUUUUGGCUUAGAAGACCACAACAGCUAACAAACAUAAGGACAAGGCUAUUUAGAAAGACUUUUCUUCUUGUCCACAUAAUCAGAUGGUUUGGAGGCUCCUUUGUGCCGAGUUUUGUGACUUCUCUACUUCUCCUUUGGUUGUUUGCUAAUGUGUAUCCAGAAGGGAAAAUGAGCCAGCAUUUUGCAAGCUUAAAACCAAGAGAUGUAGUGUAAGUGAAGGGGUAACCUAUAUUUACCAGUGGCAAUGAUAGGUAGAGGAUACACUCUAAGUUAUCUUAUAAUGAGGUGUAUCUUUUCUUGCAGACCCAUUGAAUAACUGAGAUAUGUUUCCAACAUGAAGAAGCAUAUUGGCAUGAUUGCAGGUGGUUCUGGUAUUACUCCAAUGCUUCAGGUCAUUGACGCUACACUAAAAAAUCUUGAUGACACAACCAAGGGCCAGCGAUAAGUGUCAGAAGGAGAAGAGGAAGCAUGCACUUAUCCUGCAUUUUCAAAGGAGCAAGCGAGUGCACUAGUGUUGCCCACUGCCACAUUUGUCAACUCGUCCUAAGAAAUGUAUUAGUUUCAUAAGCUUUUGAUGUUCAAGUAGAUAGGGCAUGUACUAGAAUGCUUUUCUUAUUUUAAUGUUGGCUUGGAUGAUUGGG